This is a non-coding RNA of Anas platyrhynchos (mallard), 1281 nucleotides long. Lineage: Eukaryota; Metazoa; Chordata; Aves; Anseriformes; Anatidae. The record is from RefSeq and is a predicted model, not a curated record.
GUGACAGCCCAGGAACGAUAUGCUUGUCAAACCUGUGUGCACUGCAGUUACUCUCAGAAACAUGCUGAAAGUCUCAGCUUACCUCAGGAAGUAAAUUUAAGCAUGUUUAUGCAAAUUGAAGACAAUGAAAAACUGGGAGGAGUGGCUGAUAGACCAGGUGCAUGUGCUUCCGUUCAGAGGGACACCAACAGGCUGGAGAGGUGAGCUAACGGGAAACACAUGAAACAACUAGAAAUGCCAAGUCCUUGCAGGAAAGGAUCUGUGUGUUCUAGUGGAUACCAAGUUGAACAUGAGUCAGCAAGAUUCCCUUGCAGCAAAGAAGGCCAACAGCCUCCUGUGAUGGAUGAGGAAGAAUGUUUUCAGGAGGGAUAGGCAAUGUGGACAAGGCAACAGAGAUAACAUGGCGACAACAUGGGUCUGUUACUUGAUGAGGAUGGUCACCUCAUAAAUAGACAAAGCAGAGACAUUUGAUGCCUUCCUUACCAGUGUUUAACACCAAUGAUGUGCCCUGGGAGCAUCACAGCCCUGAGUAGCAGGAAGGUAAUUGUAGAAACAAUGACCUCCCAGCUAACUGUGAGGUUGUACAUGAAUUGUUGUGCAACCUGGAUGCACACAGUCUUGGGAAUAUGAAGAGGUCCCAGGUGACUGGAUGAUCAUAAAUGUUGUCCCAGUUUUCAAGAAGGGCAAGAAAGAAGACUCUGGUAAUUACAGGACUAUCGGUCUCUCUUCAGUGCCUGGCAAAUUUAUGGAGAAGAUUAUUCUGGGAGUUAUUGAAAAACACUUGGAAGACAGUUCAGUCAUAAUUCACAGAGAACCAUGGGUUCAUGAAGGAAAAGUACUGUUUAACUAAAUUUCCCUUCAUGUCUAGCUGACCAAGAGAAGCCUGCUGAUGUAAUCUUUUUGGAUCUCAGCAGUUUUCAAUACUGUUUCUCACAGUAUCCUUUUGGACAAAAUGUCCAGCAUACAGUUAGAUAAUAGGAUGCGUGAUCAAUAAUAGGAUGGGUGAUCAAUCAGCUGAUCGGUAAAGCCCAAAUAGUUAUAAUAAAUGGAGUUACAUCAGGCUUGUGUCCAGUCACUAGUGGGGUACCUCAGGACUCCAUUUUAGGGACAGUUCUCUUUAAUGUUUUUACAGAUGAUCUGGAUGCAGGCCUUGAAUGAAUACUAAGCAAUUUUGCAGAUGAUACUAAGUUAAGAGGCACUGUUGACUCCCUCAUGGGUAGAGAGGCCUUGCACAGAAAUCUUUACAAAAUAGAGGGCUGGGCGUUCACCAACCAUGUGAAA